Molecule: ribosomal RNA, 430 nt
Filed under: Chloroflexota bacterium
Lineage: Bacteria; Bacillati; Chloroflexota
Description: Chloroflexi bacterium partial 16S ribosomal RNA
Rfam family: Bacterial small subunit ribosomal RNA
Source: RNAcentral
UGGGGAAUAUUGCACAAUGGGCGCAAGCCUGAUGCAGCCAUGCCGCGUGUAUGAAGAAGGCCUUCGGGUUGUAAAGUACUUUCAGUCGGGAGGAAGGUGUCAAGGUUAAUAACCUUGGCAAUUGACGUUACCGACAGAAGAAGCACCGGCUAACUCCGUGCCAGCAGCCGCGGUAAUACGGAGGGUGCAAGCGUUAAUCGGAAUUACUGGGCGUAAAGCGCACGCAGGCGGUUGAUUGAGUCAGAUGUGAAAUCCCCGGGCUUAACCCGGGAAUUGCAUCUGAUACUGGUCAGCUAGAGUCUUGUAGAGGGGGGUAGAAUUCCAUGUGUAGCGGUGAAAUGCGUAGAGAUGUGGAGGAAUACCGGUGGCGAAGGCGGCCCCCUGGACAAAGACUGACGCUCAGGUGCGAAAGCGUGGGGAGCAAACAGGA